GCAACGGCUCUUCUGAGAGCCACUGCCAUGGAAGAUUGCAGUUUGU
Tauraco erythrolophus (red-crested turaco) is the source of this 46-nucleotide non-coding RNA. The record is from Rfam. Lineage: Eukaryota; Metazoa; Chordata; Aves; Musophagiformes; Musophagidae.